UACGUAGGGUGCAAGCGUUGUCCGGAAUUAUUGGGCGUAAAGAGCUCGUAGGCGGUCUGUCGCGUCGGCUGUGAAAACCCGGAGCUCAACUCCGGGCCUGCAGUCGAUACGGGCAAACUGGAGUGUUGCAGGGGAGACUGGAAUUCCUGGUGUAGCGGUGAAAUGCGCAGAUAUCAGGAGGAACACCGGUGGCGAAGGCGGGUCUCUGGGCAACAACUGACGCUGAGGAGCGAAAGCGUGGGGAACGAACAGG
This 253-nucleotide ribosomal RNA is filed under the name uncultured bacterium. RNAcentral's name for it is "partial 16S ribosomal RNA". It matches the Rfam family "Bacterial small subunit ribosomal RNA", at positions 524 to 776 of the family's 1533-position model. The record is from RNAcentral.